AACUUCAGAGUCUGCCCCAUCAGAGAACCGAGGAGGAAACCUGGAUGGACUCAACAUUGAGUGAAGAAUAAAUGUCUGAGCUACAAAGAUGCCUUUUGGCACCUGUCCUGGGGCCCUGCAGCCUACGUGGCUGGAAGAGAGAGACAACAACCGUCAGUCCAGGGCCCAUAGUGGGUGCCAUCAUGAUGAUUUUGAGCAAACUGAGAAAAGGCUUUAUAAAUUAUUGGACAUGCCUCCCAAAACUGACAGAAGACAGACUUCUUUGAUCUACAAUGUCAUGGAAUUCAUUUUGAUUUGUGAAGGGUGACCUCAGAUCCCUCCAUCCUGUAAUGAAUACAAUUGGCAGUGAAGUUCUUUUCACAGCAUCCAGUUGAUUCCCUCACAGUGUAAUUGAGUUGUAUGGAUCUCUAACCAAGACCUACUGAUGGCUUCCAUUCUUGUAGCCCUGGAACAUUUGUGCGGGAACCUCUCAAACCCUGUGUGGACA
Mastomys coucha (southern multimammate mouse) is the source of this 487-nucleotide long non-coding RNA. RefSeq lists it as uncharacterized. Lineage: Eukaryota; Metazoa; Chordata; Mammalia; Rodentia; Muridae. The transcript is spliced from 4 exons. The record is from RefSeq and is a predicted model, not a curated record.